AAAUCCCCGGGGCUCAACCUGGGAACUGCAUCUGAUACUGGCAAGCUUGAGUCUCGUAGAGGGGGGUAGAAUUCCAGGUGUAGCGGUGAAAUGCGUAGAGAUCUGGAGGAAUACCGGUGGCGAAGGCGACCCCCUGGACGAAGACUGACGCUCAGGUGCGAAAGCGUGGAGAGCAAACAGGAUUAGAUACCCUGGUAGUACACGCCGUAAACGAUGUCGACUUGGAGGUUGUGCCCUUGAGGCGUGGCUUCCGGAGCUAACGCGUUAAGUCGACCGCCUGGGGAGUACGGCCGCAAGGUUAAAACUCAAAUGAAUUGACGGGGGCCCGCACAAGCGGUGGAGCAUGUGGUUUAAUUCGAUGCAACGCGAAGAACCUUACCUGGUCUUGACAUCCACGGAAGUUUUCAGAGAUGAGAAUGUGCCUUCGGGAACCGUGAGACAGGUGCUGCAUGGCUGUCGUCAGCUCGUGUUGUGAAAUGUUGGGUUAAGUCCCGCAACGAGCGCAACCCUUAUCCUUUGUUGCCAGCGGUCCGGCCGGGAACUCAAAGGAGACUGCCAGUGAUAAACUGGAGGAAGGUGGGGAUGACGUCAAGUCAUCAUGGCCCUUACGACCAGGGCUACACACGUGCUACAAUGGCGCAUACAAAGAGAAGCGACCUCGCGAGAGCAAGCGGACCUCAUAAAGUGCGUCGUAGUCCGGAUUGGAGUCUGCAACUCGACUCCAUGAAGUCGGAAUCGCUAGUAAUCGUGGAUCAGAAUGCCACGGUGAAUACGUUCCCGGGCCUUGUACACACCGCCCGUCACACCAUGGGAGUGGGUUGCAAAAGAAGUAGGUAGCUUAACCUUCGGGAGGGCGCUUACCAAUUUGUGAUUCAUGACUGGGGUGAAGUCGUAAC
Molecule: ribosomal RNA, 896 nt
Filed under: uncultured bacterium
Lineage: Bacteria
Description: bacterial SSU rRNA
Rfam family: Bacterial small subunit ribosomal RNA
Source: RNAcentral